This 68-nucleotide transfer RNA is filed under the name Strongylocentrotus purpuratus (purple sea urchin). It matches the Rfam family "tRNA". Rfam says of the family: Transfer RNA (tRNA) molecules are approximately 80 nucleotides in length. Their secondary structure includes four short double-helical elements and three loops (D, anti-codon, and T loops). Further hydrogen bonds mediate the characteristic L-shaped molecular structure. tRNAs have two regions of fundamental functional importance: the anti-codon, which is responsible for specific mRNA codon recognition, and the 3' end, to which the tRNAs corresponding amino acid is attached (by aminoacyl-tRNA synthetases). tRNAs cope with the degeneracy of the genetic code in two manners: having more than one tRNA (with a specific anti-codon) for a particular amino acid; and 'wobble' base-pairing, i.e. permitting non-standard base-pairing at the 3rd anti-codon position. The record is from Rfam by way of RNAcentral. Lineage: Eukaryota; Metazoa; Echinodermata; Echinoidea; Camarodonta; Strongylocentrotidae.
GUCUCCGUGGUCUAGUGGUUAACACAUUGGCGUUAAAAGCCAGUGACCAGGGUUCGAUUCCGGAGACA